CACGAAGUUAGCCGUGGCUGCUUCUGCAGGUACCGUCCGAACGGUUACCCGUUCCAUCUUCCCUGCCGAAAGGGGUUUACAAUCCGAAGACCUUCAUCCCCCACGCGGCGUCGCUGCGUCAGGCUGUCGCCCAUUGCGCAAUAUUCCUUA
RNAcentral lists this ribosomal RNA (150 nucleotides) under uncultured bacterium. RNAcentral describes it as "partial 16S ribosomal RNA". The record is from RNAcentral.